GUAGAGAAUACCAAGGCGCUUGAGAGAACUCGGGUGAAGGAACUAGGCAAAAUGGUGCCGUAACUUCGGGAGAAGGCACGCUGAUAUGUAGGUGAAGUGGUUUACCCAUGGAGCUGAAAUCAGUCGAAGAUACCAGCUGGCUGCAACUGUUUAUUAAAAACACAGCACUGUGCAAACACGAAAGUGGACGUAUACGGUGUGACGC
Molecule: ribosomal RNA, 205 nt
Filed under: Klebsiella sp. DNRA6
Lineage: Bacteria; Pseudomonadati; Pseudomonadota; Gammaproteobacteria; Enterobacterales; Enterobacteriaceae
Description: partial 23S ribosomal RNA
Rfam family: Bacterial large subunit ribosomal RNA
Source: RNAcentral